GUGCCAGCAGCCGCGGUAAUUCCAGCUCCAAUAGCGUAUAUUAAAGUUGUUGUGGUUAAAAAGCUCGUAGUUGAACCUUGGGCCUGGCUGGCCGGUCCGCCUCACCGCGUGCACUGGUCCGGCCGGGCCUUUCCCUCUGUGGAACCCCAUACCCUUCACUGGGCGUGGCGGGGAAACAGGACAUUUACUUUGAAAAAAUUAGAGUGCUCCAGGCAGGCCUAUGCUCGAAUACAUUAGCAUGGAACAAUAAAAUAGGACGCGCGGUUCUAUUUUGUUGGUUUAUAGGACCGCCGUAAUGAUUAAUAGGGACAGUCGGGGGCAUCAGUAUUCAACUGUCAGAGGUGAAAUUCUCGGAUCAGUUGAAGACUAACUACUGCGAAAGCAUUUGCCAAGGAUGUUUUCAUUAAUCAGGAACGAAAGUUAGGGGAUCGAAGACGAUCAGAUACCGUCGUAGUCUUAACCAUAAACUAUGCCGACUAGGGAUCGGACGGUGUUAUUCAUGACCCGUUCGGCACCUUGCGAGAAAUCAAAGUGCUUGGGCUCCAGGGGGAGUAUGGUCGCAAGGCUGAAACUUAAAGAAAUUGACGGAAGGGCACCACCAGGGGUGGAGCCUGCGGCUUAAUUUGACUCAACACGGGGAAACUCACCAGGUCCAGACACAAUAAGGAUUGACAGAUUGAGAGCUCUUUCUUGAUUUUGUGGGUGGUGGUGCAUGGCCGUUCUUAGUUGGUGGGGUGACUUGUCUGCUUAAUUGCGAUAACGAACGAGACCUUAACCUGCUAAAUAGCCCGCAUUGCUCCGGCAGUGCGCUGGCUUCUUGGAGGGACUUUC
RNAcentral lists this ribosomal RNA (831 nucleotides) under uncultured Ascomycota. RNAcentral describes it as "SSU rRNA". It matches the Rfam family "Eukaryotic small subunit ribosomal RNA", at positions 564 to 1424 of the family's 1831-position model. The record is from RNAcentral. Lineage: Eukaryota; Fungi; Ascomycota.